RNAcentral lists this transfer RNA (74 nucleotides) under Bacteroidota bacterium. RNAcentral describes it as "Bacteroidetes bacterium (soil metagenome) tRNA-Pro". It matches the Rfam family "tRNA". From Rfam's summary of the family: Transfer RNA (tRNA) molecules are approximately 80 nucleotides in length. Their secondary structure includes four short double-helical elements and three loops (D, anti-codon, and T loops). Further hydrogen bonds mediate the characteristic L-shaped molecular structure. tRNAs have two regions of fundamental functional importance: the anti-codon, which is responsible for specific mRNA codon recognition, and the 3' end, to which the tRNAs corresponding amino acid is attached (by aminoacyl-tRNA synthetases). tRNAs cope with the degeneracy of the genetic code in two manners: having more than one tRNA (with a specific anti-codon) for a particular amino acid; and 'wobble' base-pairing, i.e. permitting non-standard base-pairing at the 3rd anti-codon position. Lineage: Bacteria; Pseudomonadati; Bacteroidota. The record is from RNAcentral. RNAcentral also lists the same sequence under 2 other names.
CGGGGUGUAGCGUAGCCCGGUAUCGCGCCAGCCUGGGGGGCUGGAGGUCGUCAGUUCAAAUCUGGCCAUCCCGA